UACAGAGGUCUCAAGCGUUGUUCGGAUUCAUUGGGCGUAAAGGGCGCGUAGGCGGCCUGCUAAGUCGGAUGUGAAAUCCCUCGGCUCAACCGAGGAACUGCAUCCGAUACUGGCGGGCUUGAAUCCGGGAGAGGGAUGUGGAAUUCCAGGUGUAGCGGUGAAAUGCGUAGAUAUCUGGAGGAACACCGGUGGCGAAGGCGGCAUCCUGGACCGGUAUUGACGCUGAGGCGCGAAAGCUAGGGGAGCAACGGGG
This 253-nucleotide ribosomal RNA is filed under the name uncultured bacterium. RNAcentral's name for it is "partial 16S ribosomal RNA". It matches the Rfam family "Bacterial small subunit ribosomal RNA", at positions 524 to 776 of the family's 1533-position model. The record is from RNAcentral.